GAGGGUCGCUCUGUGCCUGUGC
This 22-nucleotide microRNA is filed under the name Drosophila mojavensis. RNAcentral describes it as "dmo-miR-306-3p". Its record names the gene dmo-miR-306-3p. RNAcentral also lists the same sequence under 1 other name. The record is from miRBase by way of RNAcentral. Lineage: Eukaryota; Metazoa; Arthropoda; Insecta; Diptera; Drosophilidae.